This is a long non-coding RNA of Papaver somniferum (opium poppy), 594 nucleotides long. RefSeq lists it as uncharacterized. The transcript has 4 exons. NCBI's taxonomy places the organism in Eukaryota, Viridiplantae, Streptophyta, Magnoliopsida, Ranunculales, Papaveraceae. The record is from RefSeq and is a predicted model, not a curated record.
GGACCCCCCGAGAAGCUUCCCGAUGUUUGCUACUCUUGGUGGGUUCUUUCUAGCCUAAUUAUUAUUGAUAGAGUGCAUUGGAUAGACAAAGACAAGCUUGCUAGAUUCAUUCUAGAUUGUCAGGAUAAAGAGAAUGUCUACCAUACAUAUUUUGGUGUCGCAGGUCUUUCACUUCUCGAGUAUCCUGGAAUAAAAGCGAUAGAUCCAGCAUAUGCUUUGCCUGUUGAUGUUGUAAAUAGGAUCUUCUUCAACAAAAAGGACUCAUCAGCCUAACAAGCAAACCCUGUAUUUACAACUUCCAAUCCAAUCGAUGCUCUUUUUCUUUUUUAAAGGGAAAUCAAGUAGGAUUUUCAAUUUUAUCUAGCUUAGUAUUGUUUACCAGUUCAGGUUUAGAUGACUCGAACUAAUGGAAGCUGUAUGUUUCCAGUCACAAAAAUCAACAAGUCAAUAAUCCUACAUCUCUAUGCUUUCCCCUUUCUUCUUUCACUGAGGUUGGAUCUUGUAGUUGUGGUACAACAAAACAGGCAUUACUAAUACUGGCUCAUCAGAAAUUGAUUAAGUUGAUAAUCUAACAGUAAGCUUGUGUCAGAAUGA